UCCCACUGGGAGGCCCGCACGAAGGGCUAUUAGCUCAGUGGUGUAGGUGCGAUGAUUUACUUCACGGGCGAGGUCUC
This 77-nucleotide transfer RNA is filed under the name Lycoris squamigera (surprise lily). Its description in RNAcentral is "tRNA-Ile". RNAcentral also lists the same sequence under 11 other names. The record is from RNAcentral. Lineage: Eukaryota; Viridiplantae; Streptophyta; Magnoliopsida; Asparagales; Amaryllidaceae.